GCUUACGUGGUUUAGUGGUAAAAUCGAGCCUUGCCAAGAUCUUUCAGAUCUUCAGCUUGGCUUGGCCCCGUGUUCGAUUCACGGCGUAAGCA
This is a non-coding RNA of Amylocarpus encephaloides, 92 nucleotides long. The record is from the annotation of a GenBank genome assembly. Lineage: Eukaryota; Fungi; Ascomycota; Leotiomycetes; Helotiales.